UGGGCAUUUUGGAGAUUUGCUGGGAUUUGGAAAACCACAGCACAAUCCACCCCGGCAACGUGGUGCACAGGUGAGACCACACAGCUGACUGGGAGCUGCCCAACUUCCCACCAGAGUAUCACACCCCACAGCACCAGCCAGGAAGAGAUCAAAAUGUAAAAUUUGACACGCAGUUUCUGCUGAAUGCAUCUCACUUGCAUACCAUGGUAAAGGUGAAAAACUGUAAGCCAAGUCAUCUUAAGUUGGGAGCCAUUCUCUUUCCCCCAUUUUGGGCCACAUAUGCACAUAUCCAGCUGAAGCGAAGCCACAGUAACAGAUGAGCCCUGGAAUCUCAGAGCUUUGACACAAUACGUUCAUUUCUCACUUGUGCAAAGCCUGGAUGUCACUGGCCUUGUGUCUGGCAAGCAAGAGGGACAUGGAGGAAGUAUAUCGGCACUCAACUGCCACAGGCCCAAGUGACACACAGCACUCCACCCAUCAGCUGUUAUCUGAGAUGAGUCCCAUGACCCCAACCACCAGUAAAGAAAGCCAAGGAAUGUAGAGAAGUGUGUGGGUAUUUGGAGAACAUUAAUGUUUUUCUACCACAGACAAAGACCCAUAAUGGAACGCAAAGUAAUUUUAGAUGGUACGCUAGAUAAUUUUUGGUAAAGAUGGAUAGAGUGUUAAAUAACAUUGAGUCACAUACUGAAAAAGCUAUCCUCAGGUCACUGACUUCAGAAGCCUCGUAGUAAUGAGGAAGUCUCAGCCUGGUGAUAAUGUCUCUAACACCUCCCAGACAUGCUGGCAUUGCUCAUCAACUUUAUCAAUGAAUGAAGAGCUGGCCUCAGAUCCAGAGCUCUCACGAGAGAUAAAGAGUAUCUUGCUAAGUUUGCAAAACACUAUUUGUUCAGACACUGUUUUCAAUAUUACCUCCAAUUUGUGGCAGGUGAUGAUACCAGUUUUAUAUGUAGAAUGCUAGAGUUUUCUUUUAAAUACAGUUUUUUAAAACUUGAGUCUACUUUGAGAGACCUAUUAAUAAUAGAAACCUUAAAUGUGUUCCGAAGGCAUGUGUGUUGAAGGCUGGGUUCCAGGGUCAUGGCACUACUGGGAAGUGUAAGAGCCUGUAAAAGGUGGGGCCCAGUGGCAGGAAGUUAGAUAACUUGGAGGGAGUGCUGGGACCUGGGCCCACUUCUCUCUUCCCUUAUUCUUCCUCCUCCCCUCUCCCUCCGCCUCCCUUUCUCUCUGCUUCUUGGCUGCCAGGAGGAGACCAGCUUCCCUCUCCACAUGCUCCCAGCAUGAUCCACUGCCCUACCACAGUACUGAAAGCAACACAACCAACUAUUCUUGGACUAAAGCCUCCAAAACUAUGAUUUAAAAUAAAGCUUUCCUCCUUUGAAGUUCAUUGUCUCAGGGGCUGUAUGAUUAGAAACAAACACAGUGAAUGCAGUUGCCAAGCACUGUCCACCAGAAAGAUAGCAUGGACAUUGAGGCAGCCAUGACAGGACAACUAAAGACACACCUGAAAGAGGACUUCCAGAGCUACUUCAGAAAGUGGCAAGAACAAUGGGAUAA
This is a long non-coding RNA of Heterocephalus glaber (naked mole-rat), 1551 nucleotides long. NCBI's taxonomy places the organism in Eukaryota, Metazoa, Chordata, Mammalia, Rodentia, Bathyergidae. The record is from Ensembl.